GACGAACGCUGGCGGCGUGCUUAACACAUGCAAGUCGAACGGAAAGGCCCUGCUUUUGUGGGGUGCUCGAGUGGCGAACGGGUGAGUAACACGUGAGUAACCUGCCCUUGACUUUGGGAUAACUUCAGGAAACUGGGGCUAAUACCGGAUAGGAGCUCCUGCUGCAUGGUGGGGGUUGGAAAGUUUCGGCGGUUGGGGAUGGACUCGCGGCUUAUCAGCUUGUUGGUGGGGUAGUGGCUUACCAAGGCUUUGACGGGUAGCCGGCCUGAGAGGGUGACCGGCCACAUUGGGACUGAGGUACGGCCCAGACGCCUACGGGAGGCAGCAGUGGGGAAUAUUGCACAAUGGGCGGAAGCCGGAUGCAGCAACGCCGCGUGCGGGAUGACGGCCGUCGGGUUGUAAACCGCUUUCGCCUGUGACGAAGCGUGAGUGACGGUAAUGGGUAAAGAAGCACCGGCUAACUACGU
This 467-nucleotide ribosomal RNA is filed under the name uncultured bacterium. RNAcentral's name for it is "partial 16S ribosomal RNA". It matches the Rfam family "Bacterial small subunit ribosomal RNA", at positions 28 to 506 of the family's 1533-position model. The record is from RNAcentral.